RNAcentral lists this ribosomal RNA (1170 nucleotides) under Enterobacter sp. WP_7_1. RNAcentral's name for it is "bacterial LSU rRNA". It matches the Rfam family "Bacterial large subunit ribosomal RNA", at positions 1 to 1212 of the family's 2925-position model. Lineage: Bacteria; Pseudomonadati; Pseudomonadota; Gammaproteobacteria; Enterobacterales; Enterobacteriaceae. The record is from RNAcentral.
GAGGUUAAGCGACUAAGCGUACACGGUGGAUGCCCUGGCAGUCAGAGGCGAUGAAGGACGUGCUAAUCUGCGAAAAGCGCCGGCGAGGUGAUAUGAACCUUUGACCCGGCGAUGUCCGAAUGGGGAAACCCAGUGCAAUUCGUUGCACUAUCGUUAACUGAAUACAUAGGUUAACGAGGCGAACCGGGGGAACUGAAACAUCUAAGUACCCCGAGGAAAAGAAAUCAACCGAGAUUCCCCCAGUAGCGGCGAGCGAACGGGGAGCAGCCCAGAGUCUGAAUCAGCUUGUGUGUUAGUGGAACGGUCUGGAAAGUCCGGCGAUACAGGGUGACAGCCCCGUACACGAAAGCACACAGGUUGUGAACUCGAAGAGUAGGGCGGGACACGUGGUAUCCUGUCUGAAUAUGGGGGGACCAUCCUCCAAGGCUAAAUACUCCUGACUGACCGAUAGUGAACCAGUACCGUGAGGGAAAGGCGAAAAGAACCCCGGCGAGGGGAGUGAAAAAGAACCUGAAACCGUGUACGUACAAGCAGUGGGAGCACCUUCGUGGUGUGACUGCGUACCUUUUGUAUAAUGGGUCAGCGACUUAUAUUCUGUAGCAAGGUUAACCGUAUAGGGGAGCCGAAGGGAAACCGAGUCUUAACUGGGCGUUAAGUUGCAGGGUAUAGACCCGAAACCCGGUGAUCUAGCCAUGGGCAGGUUGAAGGUUGGGUAACACUAACUGGAGGACCGAACCGACUAAUGUUGAAAAAUUAGCGGAUGACUUGUGGCUGGGGGUGAAAGGCCAAUCAAACCGGGAGAUAGCUGGUUCUCCCCGAAAGCUAUUUAGGUAGCGCCUCGUGAACUCAUCUUCGGGGGUAGAGCACUGUUUCGGCUAGGGGGCCAUCCCGGCUUACCAACCCGAUGCAAACUACGAAUACCGAAGAAUGUUAUCACGGGAGACACACGGCGGGUGCUAACGUCCGUCGUGAAGAGGGAAACAACCCAGACCGCCAGCUAAGGUCCCAAAGUCAUGGUUAAGUGGGAAACGAUGUGGGAAGGCACAGACAGCCAGGAUGUUGGCUUAGAAGCAGCCAUCAUUUAAAGAAAGCGUAAUAGCUCACUGGUCGAGUCGGCCUGCGCGGAAGAUGUAACGGGGCUAAACCAUGCACCGAAGCUGCGGCAGCGAC